CGGGACGGGGUGGAGUAAUGUCUGGGAAACGUGCCUGAUGGAGGGGGAUAACUACUGGAACGGUAGCUAAUACCGCAUAACGUCGCAAGACCAAUGAGGGGGACCUUCGGGCCUCUUGCCAUCGGAUGUGCCCAGAUGGGAUUAGCUAGUAGGUGGGGUAACGGCUCACCUAGGCGACGAUCCCUAGCUGGUCUGAGAGGAUGACCAGCCACACUGGAACUGAGACACGGUCCAG
Molecule: ribosomal RNA, 235 nt
Filed under: uncultured bacterium
Lineage: Bacteria
Description: partial 16S ribosomal RNA
Rfam family: Bacterial small subunit ribosomal RNA
Source: RNAcentral